GACGAACGCUGGCGGCGUGCUUAACACAUGCAAGUCGAACGGAAAGGCCCUCUUUUUUGGGGUGUUCGAGUGGCGAAGGGGGGAUUAAUACGUGAGGAACCUCCCCUUUAUUUUGGGAUAAUUUCAGGAAACUGGGGCUAAUACCGGAGAGGAGUUUCUUCUGCCUGGUGGGGGUUUGGAAGUUUGGGCGGUUGGGGCUGGUUUUGAGGGUUAUCGGGUUGUUUGUGGGGUAGUGUCCUACCAAGGCUUUGCCGGGUAGCCGGCCUGGGAGGGUAGCCGCCGACCUUAGGACUACGAUACGGCCCAGACUCCUACGGGCGGCAGCAGUGGGAAAUAUUGCACAAUGGGCGGAAGCCUGAUGCAGCGGCGCCGCGUGCGGGAUGACGGCCUUCGGGUUGUAAACCGCUUUCGCCUGUGACGAAGAGUGAGUGACGGUAAUGGGUCAAGAAGCACCGGCUAACUACGUG
RNAcentral lists this ribosomal RNA (467 nucleotides) under uncultured bacterium. Its description in RNAcentral is "partial 16S ribosomal RNA". It matches the Rfam family "Bacterial small subunit ribosomal RNA", at positions 28 to 507 of the family's 1533-position model. The record is from RNAcentral.